UAAUACGGAGGGGGUUAGCGUUGUUCGAAAUUACUGGGCGUAAAGCGCACGUAGGCGGAUUGGAAAGUUGGGGGUGAAAUCCCGGGGCUCAACCCCGGAACUGCCUCCAAAACUAUCAGUCUAGAGUUCGAGAGAGGUGAGUGGAAUUCCAAGUGUAGAGGUGAAAUUCAUAUAUAUUUGGAGGAACACCAUUGGCGAAGGCGGCUCACUGGCUCGAUACUGACGCUGAGGUGCGAAAGUGUGGGGAGCAAACAGGAUUAGAUACCCUGGUAGUCCACACCGUAAACGAUGAAUGCCAGUCGUCGGGCAGUAUACUGUUCGGUGACACACCUAACGGAUUAAGCAUUCCGCCUGGGGAGUACGGUCGCAAGAUUAAAACUCAAAUGAAUUGACGGA
Molecule: ribosomal RNA, 396 nt
Filed under: uncultured bacterium
Lineage: Bacteria
Description: bacterial SSU rRNA
Rfam family: Bacterial small subunit ribosomal RNA
Source: RNAcentral